This 430-nucleotide ribosomal RNA is filed under the name uncultured bacterium. Its description in RNAcentral is "partial 16S ribosomal RNA". It matches the Rfam family "Bacterial small subunit ribosomal RNA", at positions 354 to 796 of the family's 1533-position model. The record is from RNAcentral.
GUGGGGAAUAUUGCACAAUGGGCGAAAGCCUGAUGCAGCAACGCCGCGUGAGGGACGACGGCCUUCGGGUUGUAAACCUCUUUUAGCAGGGAAGAAGCGAAAGUGACGGUACCUGCAGAAAAAGCGCCGGCUAACUACGUGCCAGCAGCCGCGGUAAUACGUAGGGCGCAAGCGUUAUCCGGAAUUAUUGGGCGUAAAGAGCUCGUAGGCGGUUUGUCGCGUCUGCUGUGAAAACUGGAGGCUCAACCUCCAGCCUGCAGUGGGUACGGGCAGACUAGAGUGCGGUAGGGGAGAUUGGAAUUCCUGGUGUAGCGGUGGAAUGCGCAGAUAUCAGGAGGAACACCGAUGGCGAAGGCAGAUCUCUGGGCCGUAACUGACGCUGAGGAGCGAAAGCGUGGGGAGCGAACAGGAUUAGAUACCCCUGUAGUCC